This 697-nucleotide long non-coding RNA is filed under the name Oryza sativa Indica Group (long-grained rice). RNAcentral describes it as "lncRNA OsZS97_11G014530". Lineage: Eukaryota; Viridiplantae; Streptophyta; Magnoliopsida; Poales; Poaceae. The record is from RNAcentral.
CCGCCCGCCGCUGCCUCCUCCGCGCCCGCCGCUCGCCUCCUGCGCGCCCGCCGACGCCGCUCUCCGGAGCCGUUCCGCCGCCGCCGCUCCGCUCGCGCGCGGCUGCGCCCGCCACCACCUCCUCCCGCCACCGCCGCUCGCUCGCCGCCGCCUCCUCCCGCCGGCGCCGCUUUCCAGAGCCGCUCGCGCGCGGCUGAGCCCGCCGCCGCCUCCUCCCACCGGCGCCGCUCGCCGGAGCCGCUCCGCUCGCGCGCCGCUGUGCGCCCGACGCCACCGCCUCCCACCGGAGCCGCCUGCUUCCCUGCUCGCGUCGCGACGAAGAGGAAGGAGAGCUGGGGUCUGCUCACACCGCCACUGCCACCGCCUCGCCUCCCUCUAAAGCUGAUUUGUGAUUUGCGAUUUGUGAUCCCUGAUUUUGUGGAUCUGGGAAUUGAGAAUAUGGAUAGAAAAGGGAAGGAUGGUCCAUCCCUGCCAAAGGUGCUAAUUUUUGUUUGCAUCCAUGGAGUUAGGUUUAUAUCUAUUUUCGCAUUGCAUUUACAUGGAAUUAGAAUGAGGAGUAUUGAAAGAAGAAAGAUGGUGGUGAAUCAUGGGGCAGCGUCGAGGAACAUACAGACCAAGAAUCUUGAUCGUGGUAUGUCAAUUCAUGAUUAUUACUCUCCUGAUUUGGAGGUUGUUUCCCUUAGUUGAUCAAUGCAUG